Molecule: transfer RNA, 82 nt
Filed under: Salmonella enterica subsp. enterica serovar Meleagridis
Lineage: Bacteria; Pseudomonadati; Pseudomonadota; Gammaproteobacteria; Enterobacterales; Enterobacteriaceae
Description: tRNA-OTHER
Rfam family: tRNA
About the family: Transfer RNA (tRNA) molecules are approximately 80 nucleotides in length. Their secondary structure includes four short double-helical elements and three loops (D, anti-codon, and T loops).
Source: RNAcentral
GGACCGGUAGUUAAGAGGUAUAACGCGUCGAACUUGAGGUCUCAAUUUCUUCGAAUCGGGGGUUCGAAUCUCCCUCGGUCCC